Molecule: ribosomal RNA, 1045 nt
Filed under: uncultured bacterium
Lineage: Bacteria
Description: bacterial SSU rRNA
Rfam family: Bacterial small subunit ribosomal RNA
Source: RNAcentral
CCCACGGCGCACGGGUGCGUAACACGUGGAUAACCUGCCCUUGGAUGGGGAAUAACCCCGCGAAAGCGGGGCUAAUACCGCAUAACAUUCCGUUGCCUUCGGGCGACGGAAUCAAAGCCUUCGGGCGUCCGAGGAGGGGUCCGCGGCCGAUUAGCUAGUUGGCGAGGUAACGGCUCACCAAGGCAAUGAUCGGUAGCUGGUCUGAGAGGAUGAUCAGCCACACUGGAACUGAGACACGGUCCAGACUCCUACGGGAGGCAGCAGUGGGGAAUCUUGCGCAAUGGGCGAAAGCCUGACGCAGCGACGCCGCGUGGGGGAUGAAGCUUCUCGGAGUGUAAACCCCUUUCGACCCGGACGAAAUGCCCCGCAAGGGGAAUUGACGGUACGGGUAUAAGAAGCCCCGGCUAACUACGUGCCAGCAGCCGCGGUAAGACGUAGGGGGCCAGCGUUGCUCGGAAUUACUGGGCGUAAAGGGUUCGUAGGCGGUGCGGUAAGUCGAGAGUGAAAUCUCCGGGCUUAACCCGGAGGCUGCUCCCGAAACUGCCGUGCUCGAGUGCUGGAGAGGCGAGUGGAAUUGCAGGUGUAGCGGUGAAAUGCGUAGAUAUCUGCAGGAACACCAGUGGCGAAGGCGGCUCGCUGGACAGCAACUGACGCUGAGGAACGAAAGCUAGGGGAGCAAACAGGAUUAGAUACCCUGGUAGUCCUAGCCCUAAACCAUCAGGACUUGACGUGGGCCCCGUUCGGGGUCCGUGCCGUAGCCAACGCGAUAAGUCCUGCGCCUGGGGAGUACGGUCGCAAGACUGAAACUCAAAGGAAUUGACGGGGGCCCGCACAAGCGGUGGAACAUGUGGUUCAAUUCGACGCAACGCGAAGAACCUUACCUGGGCUCGAAGUGCUGGUGACCAGCCGUAGAAAUAUGGCCUUCCCGCAAGGGACACCAGUAGAGGUGCUGCAUGGCUGUCGUCAGCUCGUGCCGUGAGGUGUUGGGUUAAGUCCCGCAACGAGCGCAACCCUUACACGUAGUUGCCACCCGCAAGGGGGAACU